Molecule: non-coding RNA, 46 nt
Organism: Aedes aegypti (yellow fever mosquito)
Lineage: Eukaryota; Metazoa; Arthropoda; Insecta; Diptera; Culicidae
Source: Rfam
CCUUUGGCUCUUUUCAGGGCCACCAAAUGUGUUAACAGAGUAAUAU